RNAcentral lists this unclassified non-coding RNA (323 nucleotides) under Hevea brasiliensis (rubber tree). The record is from RNAcentral. Lineage: Eukaryota; Viridiplantae; Streptophyta; Magnoliopsida; Malpighiales; Euphorbiaceae.
GGAUGAAGCAAAUGCCAAACCAAUGCAAUUGCUAUUAUCACAUAUAAUAAUCAAGGCCUAUAGACAAUCCAAGUCCAAAAGACAUCCAUAUUUCCAAUGACAAUCAGAAUUGGAUUAUGAAACACCAGUUAGAUUUCAGAAUGAAAUUAUCUUACAGGCUCAAAAUUGGCACUACCAGAGACCAUAUGCAAUCUACAAUACCAAAUUGCAUGUUGCACCUCAGUUUAGUGUUUAUGCAUCAGUAGAGCAACUUUUCAAUUUCCGUAAAAGAGCUAAUACAUGACUAAUUAUUUGCUUGCAGAGAAGAUUGAAUCUUUGUUCCU